AUUUCCAGAAAAUCGACGGACAGUGUCCUUUAGUCUGUCGCUUUUCUGAGAUUUU
This 55-nucleotide microRNA precursor is filed under the name Solanum tuberosum (potato). RNAcentral describes it as "MIR8008 microRNA precursor family". It matches the Rfam family "MIR8008 microRNA precursor family". Lineage: Eukaryota; Viridiplantae; Streptophyta; Magnoliopsida; Solanales; Solanaceae. The record is from Rfam by way of RNAcentral.